UUAUCGUUGUUUUCUUUAAUCGUUUGAUCAUUUAACAUUGGUAACAUUUUGGCGAUCCUGCCAGGACGCCACUCGGGUUGUUUCACGCCGAAUUGUGGCGUUCAAGAGCGGAAAAUUCCUGAUUUGGGCUUUGAUGAUGGGCUUUUUUUGCGAGAGGUAAACUUAAAAUUUAAUGUGAUUUGUCGUUUAACUGGAGAGUAAAGACGU
Non-coding RNA from Paramuricea clavata, 207 nucleotides. Lineage: Eukaryota; Metazoa; Cnidaria; Anthozoa; Malacalcyonacea; Plexauridae. The record is from the annotation of a GenBank genome assembly.